UCUUAUCAAGUUUCACUCUCAACCAUUUCCAUUUUCAGCAAGUAUGGCUCGUUCUACUUCUUUUGUUUGCACCUUUUUUGUCCUUCUUUUGCUUCUAGUUGUGACUGGUAGGUCUUUCUUCUUACUUAACAAUAUCCUAACUCUCUCCUAUUUAUAUCAUAACUCGAUUUUCUAUUCAUUAUGGGUAUAGUUCUUCUUUUACUGUUUAAUUGUGGUAUUGUUUUUAUGACAGAAGCAGAAAUGGGUCAAGCAACACAAGCAAACAAAUGUAUAGUUACGUAUGGUCGAAUCUCGUGUAGAGGUGAUAUACCAUGUAAUAAUUUAUGUCUAAAUAACGGCUACCUUGGAG
This 349-nucleotide long non-coding RNA is filed under the name Lupinus angustifolius (narrow-leaved blue lupine). RNAcentral's name for it is "long non-coding RNA (LANG_LNC003362)". Lineage: Eukaryota; Viridiplantae; Streptophyta; Magnoliopsida; Fabales; Fabaceae. The record is from RNAcentral.